GGCGUCUUACUCAAGUGGUUACGAGGUGAGUCUAGAAAAUGAUUCUACACCGAUUACGGUGGGUCUUCAAACUCAUGGGCUUUGCCCGCGUAGGUUCAAAUCCUGCAGACGUCG
Non-coding RNA from Meira miltonrushii, 114 nucleotides. NCBI's taxonomy places the organism in Eukaryota, Fungi, Basidiomycota, Exobasidiomycetes, Exobasidiales, Brachybasidiaceae. The record is from the annotation of a RefSeq genome assembly.